This 47-nucleotide ribosomal RNA is filed under the name Ficus villosa. Its description in RNAcentral is "partial 28S ribosomal RNA". The record is from RNAcentral. Lineage: Eukaryota; Viridiplantae; Streptophyta; Magnoliopsida; Rosales; Moraceae.
CAACGNGACCCCAGGUCAGGCGGGGCUACCCGCUGAGUUUAAGCAUA